Molecule: ribosomal RNA, 253 nt
Filed under: uncultured bacterium
Lineage: Bacteria
Description: partial 16S ribosomal RNA
Rfam family: Bacterial small subunit ribosomal RNA
Source: RNAcentral
UACGUAGGUGGCAAGCGUUGUCCGGAAUUAUUGGGCGUAAAGCGCGCGCAGGCGGUCCUUUAAGUCUGAUGUGAAAGCCCACGGCUCAACCGUGGAGGGUCAUUGGAAACUGGGGGACUUGAGUGCAGAAGAGGAGAGCGGAAUUCCACGUGUAGCGGUGAAAUGCGUAGAGAUGUGGAGGAACACCAGUGGCGAAGGCGGCUCUCUGGACCGGAACUGACGCUGAGGCGCGAAAGCGUGGGGAGCAAACAGG